GGGGAUGUAGCUCAAUUGAUGAGUGCUCGCUUCGCGUGUAAGAGGCUUCGAGUUCGAAUCCAGACAUCUCCA
Molecule: transfer RNA, 72 nt
Filed under: Echinostoma caproni
Lineage: Eukaryota; Metazoa; Platyhelminthes; Trematoda; Plagiorchiida; Echinostomatidae
Rfam family: tRNA
About the family: Transfer RNA (tRNA) molecules are approximately 80 nucleotides in length. Their secondary structure includes four short double-helical elements and three loops (D, anti-codon, and T loops).
Source: Rfam by way of RNAcentral